GAAAUAUCUGUAGAUUUACAGUUAGGAUUUUUAUGAUGAAAAGUAAAUAGAUUAAGUGUCAGGUUGUAAACAACAAAUAUCACAACUCAGUUUGAUUCCUGGCAUUGGAAAAUGCUGCAAGAACCCAAUGGAUACAACACUUUGCAGGAGCCAGCAUAACAGACACAGCAGGGGUGGAGAGGAUGGAAGCAGCAUCUCUGGAUUGGAUGAGUUCCUUGUGAAAUCAUUGGACAGUAUUUCAGGAAAAGGUGAACAGAGCAUCAGCCUGAAGCAAACAGCAUAUUUAACUGUUCUUCAGUCAGCAAAAUUAGGGACUUGGAGUCUGAAAGGAAGAGGCAAUCCUGAAAAGGUACUGAAGAGGUUUCUAAAGAGAAGAGAUGAUAGAAAAUCAUGAAAGAAGGGAAAGAUGACAGCUGGAGGAAGAGUAACAGAGAUGUCUGGAGUCAAAUGCGGGGGAUGCCCAGGGAUUUUAGCCAUUGGCACCUCAAAUGGAUAACUCUGAGCAGAUGAACAGCAGGAACCAAUACAAUUUUCUGCCUGACAAUGGCAGACCAGCAGUGACCUCCCUACAAAUCAAGACCUAUGAGCAUUGUGCUGUGGAAGAGAGCAAGUGAAACAAUUCAUGAAAUCAUAGAAUAUCUCAGGUUGGUAAGGACCCCAUAUAAAUCACCAAGUCCAACUCCCUCCCUUCGUUCAGGACUACCUAAAACAUAUGAAAAGCUUUAAUCUUGUUGAUUUUUAAAUGAAUACCAGCAUUCAGCCUCACUACAAGUUGUGGCUUACUUUGUCUUACCUGUGUGGCACUUUGAAAAUCAGCUACUAGGAAAAUGAUUUUUAUGCUUAG
RNAcentral lists this long non-coding RNA (844 nucleotides) under Zonotrichia albicollis (white-throated sparrow). RNAcentral describes it as "lncRNA (ENSZALG00000011458.1)". The record is from RNAcentral. Lineage: Eukaryota; Metazoa; Chordata; Aves; Passeriformes; Passerellidae.